RNAcentral lists this ribosomal RNA (469 nucleotides) under uncultured bacterium. RNAcentral's name for it is "partial 16S ribosomal RNA". It matches the Rfam family "Bacterial small subunit ribosomal RNA", at positions 28 to 507 of the family's 1533-position model. The record is from RNAcentral.
GACGAACGCUGGCGGCGUGCUUAACACAUGCAAGUCGAACGGAAAGGCCCUGCUUGCAGGGUGCUCGAGUGGCGAACGGGUGAGUAACACGUGGGUGAUCUGCCCCUUAUUUUGGGAUAAGCCUGGGAAACUGGGUCUAAUACUGGAUAGGACCAUGCUGUAGGUGGUGUGGUGGAAAGAUUAGUUUCGGUAAGGGAUGAGCUCGCGGCCUAUCAGCUUGUUGGUGGGGUAAUGGCCUACCAAGGCGUCGACGGGUAGCCGGCCUGAGAGGGUGGACGGCCACAUUGGGACUGAGGUACGGCCCAGACUCCUACGGGAGGCAGGAGUGGGGAAUAUUGCAAAAUGGGCGCAAGCCUGAUGCAGCGACGCCGCGUGGGGGAUGACGGCCUUCGGGUUGUAAACUCCUUUCAGCCAUGACGAAGCCCUUGUGGUGACGGUAGUGGUAGAAGAAGCACCGGCUAACUACGUG